RNAcentral lists this ribosomal RNA (429 nucleotides) under Actinomycetes bacterium. Its description in RNAcentral is "Actinobacteria bacterium partial 16S ribosomal RNA". It matches the Rfam family "Bacterial small subunit ribosomal RNA", at positions 355 to 776 of the family's 1533-position model. Lineage: Bacteria; Bacillati; Actinomycetota; Actinomycetes. The record is from RNAcentral.
UAGGGAAUCUUCCGCAAUGGGCGAAAGCCUGACGGAGCAACGCCGCGUGAGUGAUGAAGGUCUUCGGAUCGUAAAACUCUGUUAUUAGGGAAGAACAAAUGUGUAAGUAACUAUGCACGUCUUGACGGUACCUAAUCAGAAAGCCACGGCUAACUACGUGCCAGCAGCCGCGGUAAUACGUAGGUGGCAAGCGUUAUCCGGAAUUAUUGGGCGUAAAGCGCGCGUAGGCGGUUUUUUAAGUCUGAUGUGAAAGCCCACGGCUCAACCGUGGAGGGUCAUUGGAAACUGGAAAACUUGAGUGCAAAAGAGGAAAGUGGAAUUCCAUGUGUAGCGGUGAAAUGCGCAGAGAUAUGGAGGAACACCAGUGGCGAAGGCGACUUUCUGGUCUGUAACUGACGCUGAUGUGCGAAAGCGUGGGGAUCAAACAGG